UCGGAGCUGGAGCGGCACGCCGUGCCGGUG
Molecule: small RNA, 30 nt
Filed under: Bombyx mori (domestic silkworm)
Lineage: Eukaryota; Metazoa; Arthropoda; Insecta; Lepidoptera; Bombycidae
Description: ovarian small RNA-28933
Source: RNAcentral